Molecule: ribosomal RNA, 253 nt
Filed under: uncultured bacterium
Lineage: Bacteria
Description: partial 16S ribosomal RNA
Rfam family: Bacterial small subunit ribosomal RNA
Source: RNAcentral
UACGGGGGGGGCAAGCGUUGUUCGGAAUUACUGGGCGUAAAGGGCUCGUAGGCGGCCAACUAAGUCGGAUGUGAAAUCCCUGGGCUCAACCCAGGAACUGCGUCCGAUACUGGCAGGCUUGAAUUCGGGAGAGGGAUGCGGAAUUCCAGGUGUAGCGGUGAAAUGCGUAGAUAUCUGGAGGAACACCAAUGGCGAAGGCAGCUCGCUGGGACGGUACUGACGCUGAGGCGCGAAAGCGUGGGGAGCAAACAGG